Molecule: ribosomal RNA, 828 nt
Filed under: uncultured bacterium
Lineage: Bacteria
Description: bacterial SSU rRNA
Rfam family: Bacterial small subunit ribosomal RNA
Source: RNAcentral
ACGGCGGCAUAAUACAUGCAAGUCGAACGGUGGUAGCAAUACCAUAGUGGCGCACGGGUGCGUAACACGUAACUAACCUACCUAUAACUGGGGGAUAGCCCGCCGAAAGGCGGAUUAAUACCGCAUAAGCUUGUGAAGUGGCAUCACUUUAUUAGUAAAGAUUUAUUGGUUAUAGAUGGGGUUGCGGGUCAUUAGCUAGUUGGUAAGGUAACGGCUUACCAAGGCGACGAUGACUAGGGGAGCUGAGAGGCUGGUCCCCCACACGGGCACUGAGAUACGGGCCCGACUCCUACGGGAGGCAGCAGUAGGGAAUAUUGGGCAAUGGGCGAGAGCCUGACCCAGCCAUGCCGCGUGCAGGAAGAAGGCUUUCUGAGUCGUAAACUGCUUUUGACAGGGAAGAAUAAGGACUACGUGUAGUCUGAUGACGGUACCUGCAGAAUAAGCACCGGCUAACUCCGUGCCAGCAGCCGCGGUAAUACGGAGGGUGCGAGCGUUGUCCGGAUUUAUUGGGUUUAAAGGGUGCGUAGGCGGCUUUUUAAGUCUGGGGUGAAAGCCCGCUGCUCAACAGCGGAACUGCCCUGGAUACUGGAGAGCUUGAGUACAGACGAGGUUGGCGGAAUGGACAGAGUAGCGGUGAAAUGCAUAGAUACUGUCCAGAACCCCGAUUGCGAAGGCAGCUGACUAGGCUGUUACUGACGCUGAGGCACGAAAGCGUGGGGAGCGAACAGGAUUAGAUACCCUGGUAGUCCACGCCGUAAACGAUGGAUACUCGCUGCGAGCUAAAGAUUGUUCGUGGCUUAGGGAAACCGAUAAGUAUCCCACCUGGGG